This 209-nucleotide long non-coding RNA is filed under the name Mytilus galloprovincialis (Mediterranean mussel). The record is from RNAcentral. Lineage: Eukaryota; Metazoa; Mollusca; Bivalvia; Mytilida; Mytilidae.
CAAAACUCAAAAACUUAACUUUGACCACUGAACCAUGAAAAUGAGGUUAAGGUCAGAUGACACCUGCCAACUAGACAUGUACACCUUAAAAUCAUUCCAUAUACCAAAUAUAGUAGACGUAUUGCAUACAGGAUAAAAAAAACAGACCAAAACGCAAAAACUUAACACUGAUCAAUGAACCGUGAAAAUGAGGUCAAGGUCAAAUAAAA